This 288-nucleotide ribosomal RNA is filed under the name uncultured Actinomycetales bacterium. Its description in RNAcentral is "partial 16S ribosomal RNA". It matches the Rfam family "Bacterial small subunit ribosomal RNA", at positions 524 to 810 of the family's 1533-position model. The record is from RNAcentral. Lineage: Bacteria; Bacillati; Actinomycetota; Actinomycetes; Actinomycetales.
UACGUAGGGUGCGAGCGUUGUCCGGAAUUACUGGGCGUAAAGAGCUCGUAGGUGGUUUGUCGCGUCGUCUGUGAAAUUCCGGGGCUUAACUCCGGGCGUGCAGGCGAUACGGGCAUAACUUGAGUGCUGUAGGGGAGACUGGAAUUCCUGGUGUAGCGGUGAAAUGCGCAGAUAUCAGGAGGAACACCGAUGGCGAAGGCAGGUCUCUGGGCAGUUACUGACGCUGAGGAGCGAAAGCAUGGGUAGCGAACAGGAUUAGAUACCCUGGUAGUCAAGGGCGAAUUCGUU